GACGCACGCUGGCGGCGUGCCUAAUACAUGCAAGUCGAACGCAGUGGGGACGGGUGAGUAACACGUGGGUAACCUCCCAUCAGAGGGGAUAACACUUGGAAACAGGUGCUAAACCGAUACUGAUGGAUGGACCCGCGGUGCAUUAGCUAGUUGGUGAGGUAACGGCUCACCAAGGCCACGAUGCAUAGCCGACCUGGGAGGGGGAGCGGCAACACGGGGACGGAGACACGGCCCAGACUCCUACGGGAGGCAGCAGUAGUGAAUCUUCGGCAAUGGACGAAAGUCUGACCGAGCAACUCGGCGUGAGUGAAGAAGGUCUUCGGAUCGUAAAACGCUGUUAUUAGGGAAGCGUUACCUAAUCAGAAAGCGACGGCUAACUACGUGCCAGCAGCCGCGGUAAUAC
Molecule: ribosomal RNA, 403 nt
Filed under: uncultured bacterium
Lineage: Bacteria
Description: partial 16S ribosomal RNA
Rfam family: Bacterial small subunit ribosomal RNA
Source: RNAcentral